UUUGGCUUGUAUGAACUUGAGGCUUGACUAUAUUGUUGACUAUGUUGUUUGUUGAUUUGCUCUCCCUUCUAGUUUGUCCUUUGAUAAUUAAUCUUUGUUGUCGAUCCUUGUCUUUAUCAAACUCUGACUUUCAUCAACCUUUGCCUUCAUCAAAAUCUAUGUGAUGCAUGCUUGCACAUACAAUUUGUUCAUGCAUGUAUGCUUACAUCUUCAAUAUCCCUUUUUUAUGAUGACAAGCACUUGUUGAUUCUUGUUGGAUCUGACAAGUCCUUGUUGGAUAUGCUUGAUGGUAAUCAACUAUGUUUUGCAUCUUCAAUCUCCCUCUUGCUCCCCCUCAAUUUGAGCAUCGGGUGAUUCAUCUUGUUCUUUAUGGAAACCUCAACUUUUCUUCUCUUGCAACUCCUCCAAAACAUAAACAACAAAUUUUAUCCCCCUUUUGGCAUGAUCAAAAAGCAAAGUGAUACAUGAAAGCUGAUUUCCAAAAGAAAGGAAAAAUAAUGCAAAUUCUACUGAUGUAAAUCGAUUAUAAUGGAACUUAAUUGAUUAUGUGUGAUUCAAUUUUAUCCAGAAUUGCAUUUUAUACAACAGUUAAUCGAUUAUGGUCUGUUGUUAAUCAAUUAAACUUACUGUUAUGACAUAAUUCAGUGCAUAUUACAUGCUAUUUGAAGAAUGUUAUGUAACUUGAUAUUCACUUGUUUUAAACACUUGUUUUAUGAAAAUUACGCACAAUAAGAUCAAUGCAAAAAAAUUAAAGAUAACUAAGCAUUCAUUCAUUCAUUGAUCAAAUGAUCACAAGAGUGAGAUAACAAGUACAUAAUUCAAUUAAAGCACAAAAAAUAAAGCAUCUCAUGCGAGUACAAUUCAAGUUAGAGCACAAAAACAAACUAAGAAGUUUGGAAUUACAACUCAAUGACCAAAAACAUGUAGACCACACACUCCUAAAACAACACCUGACUAGGACACACUAGAGAUUCUAAGCUAGCUAGGAGGUGGUUGCAAAAAGUCACCGAAGGUUUUGAAUAGAAAGUGAAGUUGCUCGAAGCGAUUUUGAUUAUCUUCAUCUUGUCUCCGAAACUCCGCCAUGAGCCUAUCCUCCAUCGAUUGCAUUCCCGAAUCAAUUCUCUCAUUCAAGUGUUGUUCCAUGGCAUCCAGAUGAGCCAAGCCAAAUGAAGGUUCUUGAGGCAUACUAGAAGCCUCGUCAUUUUGUUGCUCCUGGUUUGCUCACCUUGCUCACCACUUUCAUCCUCAUUAGACAUAUCCAAAUUCACAGUGGUCUUAUAGUCCUCUUGAUACAUCCAUUUACCUCCAUAUUUAUAAACGCUCAUAUUGUGAAUGAGAUUCUCUUGGACCAUCUGCUCUUUGGGAUUUACAACAAUUAUCUCCACACCAGAUGUGUCGAUCCCUAGAUGACCAAUAACACAGGAGAUAAAGAUCCCAUAUGCUAGCAGCCUUGAAGAAGGCGAUGUAAUGCCAUACAUGACUUUCAAAAUCUCGUUUGGCCAGCUUAUCAUAAUUCCUUCCUUAAUAGCAAACAUUAACUUCAGGUCAUUCAUAGUUGCUUGCGCGUGAUUUGUGUUACGCUGAACCAAAAUGUAAGCGAUCAAGUAAUGUAUUAUCUUGUUUUCCAUGGUUAAGGAACUGACCUUUGUAAGCUCACCUUGGACAAAAUAGUGAGGUCCCCUCAUGAAUGACUUGUACAUCUCUGUAGAGUCAUACACGCUCCAUUUUUCAUCGAUACAAUCUCUUAGGGAACCUUCAUCACAUGCCAAGCCUCCAACAACCAUAAAUAGCACAUCAUUUAACAGUACCAGCUUCCCUUAUACCAUACUUCUAUAUCCACCAUCCUUUUACUGAAAAUUAGCAUAGAAUUCUUGAACAAAAGAAGGGUAAAUGCUGCCAUUUAAAUCCAAAAACCAUACAACCCCUUGUACCUCCAAUUCGUGCAAGAAUUGAAAUCCAUGCUCCACCAUCCAUGCCAUGUCGUCAUAUCAAAUGUAUGUUGGUUUUCGGCUGACAAACCUCGCCAACCCUUCUGAUUGGAGAGUAGGAUCAGAGAAUGGGUCCAAACCCAUGGAUGGAUUCUGCCCAACAUUGGAAGAAGACCCACCAACAUUGAAGUUUCUCGUUUGUCCCAGAUGAUGAAGAGAAUGGUUCAUUCCAAUAGUAUGUUUUACUCUAUUGGGUCUCUCAUUACUCAUUUUGGUAGAGAUAGGAGAUGGAUAAUGAUUAAAAGGGAAACAUAAAUUAGGUUUAGAAAGAGGGGUAACUUAAGUUACUCAAUUUAAUUCAACCGAAUUGAUGAGUUAGAGGAUUAGAGGAGGAAAGAAACAUAGAUUGGGUAGCUCUAAUCUUAGUGUGAGGAUGAAUUACAAGAUUAAUUUGGGACAAUAAGACAGAUUGCACGAGGUUAGGAUUUGAAGAGAUUGGGUAGCUCUAACCUAGAAUUGUAUUUCGAUCUGUUUUAUGACUGUAACUAACCGAUUAACCUCUAUGUUAAUCGAUUAACAGGAUUUGAAUUUUAACACAGUUAAUCCAUUAUGUUCCAACUUAAUCAAUUAAAAUUUUAAAACACUUUUAGCCCAGGUAAUCGAUUAAAUCACAUAGAAAAAACCCAGGUAAUCAAUUAAAACAAAUAGCAAACCAUUAAAUAAGUCACAAAAACAGAUUUUGGCACAGUUUGAAUUAGUUUAGAGGUUUGCUAAGACUCUAAUAUAGAGGAUCUAUCCUAAACACUUAAUGAACACUUAAGUCGGAGCCAAAAGAUACAUGAAAGCAUAUUCAAUCAAGCAUGUAGUAUACAAUCAAGAGUACAUGCAUUUGUUGGCGAUAAUGCACUUAUUUAGGAUUAUAUAGAUGUCUAGCAUGCAUUCAAACACUUAGGUAUAAUAUCGGACAUAACAUAUGAUAAGAAAUUAUAGAACAAUAUAUGCCACGAUAUUUGGUUACCUCACAUGUUUUACCUCAUCAAUAUCAAAGUGUUAGAAGAUUGCCAUAUUUGAUGUCUUCUUUAGCCUUUCUUCAAUUUCUUGAUUCUUGCCUUUUUCUUACAUAGCACUUCAAUUCUUGAAAUGUUUAUCCUCAUGAGUACCUAAAAAAUAUUAAGCAUACCUUU
This 3112-nucleotide long non-coding RNA is filed under the name Lupinus angustifolius (narrow-leaved blue lupine). RNAcentral's name for it is "long non-coding RNA (LANG_LNC001065)". Lineage: Eukaryota; Viridiplantae; Streptophyta; Magnoliopsida; Fabales; Fabaceae. The record is from RNAcentral.